UCAACGCUGCAUCAGUGCAGGUAGGGGAUUGAGCUCGAGCUAGCUCGAAUAAAGGCUCUUUUGCUUGUACAUCGGACUCGGCUCCCUGGCGGUAUUUGGGGAUCACGAAUUCUGGGCAUAACACACAUGACAUGAGUAUUAAUUUAUUCUCAAUACCAGCUAGCUCUGGUUCUUUAAUUACCUUUUUCUGUCAUGGAAGAUUGAUGAGGGAGCAUGGGGCAAGUUGAGGGCAAAAUACAAGUUAGCACACGCCCCCGCCCCAGGUGGGAUAUGUGUGAUUCUGGCUGCUCCAGGACAAAGGAAAGGAAAGAAAACAAAUGGUUAACUGAUAGAGAUCUCAGUCGGGCAAGACAGGAGUUUCCAUCAGUUUACAAAUAUCUUAGUAAACUACAAGAAAAAGGCCAUCUUUUUCUCCUUUUUCCAGUAUGAAAGAUUCUUGGGGACAGUCCCUGUCUAUUCUUUGUACCCCCAGUACUUAGUACAUUGUCGACAUAGAGUGCGCGUGGAAAGGAUUGUUUUUCAAUGAAUUCAUUCAUUCUUAUCAACGGAUUCCACCCUAUUUUGUCCUGUAUUGCCUACAUAACUAUGAAAUUCAGAUUCUUAGAAGAGACUCUUGGUGUCAUAAGAUGCUUAGUAGAGGUGGUGAGUUUUAAGACAUUGUAUUGACACCACUAAAACCUCUUGGUGGCGAAACUCAAUGAGCCCGUUCUCUGGCAUGCUGGCAAAACAAAAAACUGACCCUCAGUAUUCUUUCCCCAAGUCAGGCAUCAGCAAAUUAAUGAGAGGAGAGAGGAGGCCCCUGCUCUUGGGCACCCGCAGGAACUUACUCCAGCUCCAGACACACCGUAAACACUUUCAUCUAACGGAAGAUAAGCUGUGAAAUCGGAUUUCUGAACCACAAGACAGUAAGACAGUCUUUUCCAGCGUCUGCUUUAGAGGAGGGUCUUCAACCUUGAGUCUAAACAUCCCCCUCAGGCCACUGAACAUGCCCAGUAUGAUUUGCCUUUUUACAGAGAAAUCACAGAAUGUUCCGGCUGAAAGGGAAUAACACACUUCUUACUUGAAGAGUGGUCAGGAAAGAAAGCACAUGGAGAGCAGUGCCCUGUGGCGGGUAUUCAGGAGUUCUUUCUGCUUUCCUGAUGGCUGAGGAAGCACCCACACCUGUUGCUGCCUGGAGAACUCUGUGCUAAACUUAGUUCUUCGAAGUUCUCUUUUCCAUAGGAAACUUGCACAUGAGCCGGAAUCAAAGUUAAAUUCAAAAGUGGAUUUCAAGGACCAUGCACACCUUGGGGAAGCAUCACUGUCACGAAUUCCCAUGAUAAUACUGACUUGGGUGUUACUUGCUUGGGGCUUUCACUGCCCACACAAAGCUGGGUACGAGGGAGGGCAGAGAGUGCCAUGUAGGAGUUAAGACAAGUCUCUUGGCCUCUUUGUACCUUAGUUUCCUCAUCUGAAAAAAAAAUGGAUUUUAAGACCUACUUUCCAGAAUUCAUACUGGGUUUAUUAACACACACCUAACCAGUCACUGUAUGAUAUUUUUACAUGUAGUUUUUUGUUUUUUAACAUGUAUUCAUUUUCUAUUUCACUUACAGCUUGUGUAAAAACUGCAUUCCAUGCCAGGCCUGAAAUGUUCCAAAGCUCAGUUUGCUAUCAGCAUCCCAGGUGGUGCAAUUAAUAAAGAGCUAGCGUGGGGCCACUGGCACAAACAAGGCAGCUCCUUAGAACCUGAACUUCCUAUUUGUUCCAUUCCUUGGGUAGAGAACGCCUGUUAAUUACUCUGGAGGUAAGUAUUUUUUUCCCCCAAAUCACUUAUGUGUCUAAAAUGGUUCCUUCCACAAAUCAAUGAGAAAAUAAGAAUUCAACGAAAAAAAUGGUAAAAAUUGUACCAUUAUCAGCAAACAAAUGUAAAGAAGCCCUCUACUGAAACCUCUCUAGGUGUUAGAAGGAUAAGGGAAGUUAGAAAUUAGAAUAACUAACAUGGAAAGAUUUCUUAGACAUAUUGCAUAGGGAAAAGCAACAAAUCACUGGCCAAGGAAUUAAAAAGUAUCCCCUCAUUAGAAAAUUAGGAAAAAAUGCAAAGGAAAGAGAUGGGAAGGAAGGACACACACCAAAAAGGUGACAGGAGUUAUCUUAUGAGUGGUAGGGGGGGGGGGGUGGGAUUUUCACGUUUUAUCCUCUAUACCUGUGACAUUAAAAACAAAAAAAAGUAUCCAUGAUAAUUCAUGUAUCCAUGAAUUACACAUGUUUAAAAGAAGCUAUUAAAUGCCUGAGGUUCAGUUUCAACCGCUACCUCUGCGUAUGACUUUGAACCUUUACCUGUAGUUUUGUUCUCUUCCCUCAGCAACAGCUUACCUGGUCAGUUUACAUACACAUUUUUUUCAGGGGAGUCAGGAAUAAAUUCAAAACAGAUACCCAUCUGCCCAUGUGCCUGGUGGACAUUUCCAGUCAACCUGAAGCCUUCUGGUUGCUCUAUGUGCCCUGGUAAAAGAUGCCUCAACUUCCAUCAUUCUCCUUAUCUGGGACAGAAGUUUCAGAGUAAUAUCUGAGUUUUCUCUUUCCCGUGCACACCCCAUCCGCGACUGUCAUCAGUUAGUCUAUCUUGUCACUUCCUCCUUUGCAGUGCUCUUAAGGCUUUUCUUUCUACUCUUUUCAGCCACUCUGAUUCGGCCCCUUGUUACUUUACUCCUAGGUUUUGUUAGAACAUUCUAUCUGGUCUCGCUGGAUCAAGCUCUCCUCUCCAGAUCGCCCUAUAUGGGGAACUGAAAAUAAUCCUCCUUUCAAUGGUCUGUAUCUCAUGCUUGAAAACUUUCAGUUCCUCUCCGUAACUCAGAAUGUAACGUUCAAACCUCUCUAGCUGAUAGUCAAGGUUUCUCGUAAUUGGAUCUUUAACGGCUUAACCUAAUUCUUUUUUUUUUUUUAAUGUUUAUUUAUUUUUGAGACAGAGAGAGACAGAGCAUGAAUGGGGGAGGGGCAGAGAGAGAGGGAGACACAGAAUCGGAAGCAGGCUCCAGGCUCUGAGCCGUCAGCCCGGAGCCUGACGCGGGGCUCGAACUCACGAACUGUGAGAUGUUGACCUGGGCUGAAGUCGGACGCUCAACCGACUGAGCCACCCAGGCGCCCCUAACCUAAUUCUUAAUUCCUGAUCAUUCCUGCAGCCAUGCCUUUGCCUAGACUUAUACCCAUUUUUUCUCUACUUAACACAUCAGAGCCACUCUUUAAGUCUCAGCUAAAGUGUUAGCUUAUCCAUGCAGCUCUCCCUGACCUCCAUACUCCACUGAUUACAGAGUCUGCUGAAUUCCAACACCCAUGGUACCUCUUUUAGUACUUAAUUACAUGCCACCUCCCUUUCUAUGACCAUUUCCUUUCUUCCCACCUGUCAUUUCAUGUUCUGAAGACGAUUGCAUCCUAGUGUGGCGCCCAUAGUACUUACUCUUGGGUUGGGCCCAAACUGAGUACUGUAUGUGGAAGGCCGGGGGUCAAAGAUGAGGUCUGGGGAAUCAAAAUAAUAACAGCUAACACUCAUAUUUUGCCAGGCACUGAUCCAAGUGCUUCAUAUGUAUUACCUCACCUAGAUCUCACAAUAAUCCCAUGAGAUGGUAACUAUCAUAAUUUCCAUUUCACAGAAAAGGAAACUGAGUCACAAAGCUAAUAGAUGACAGACCUCGGCCCAAAUGCAGGCAAUCUAGUUCCAGAAUCUCUACUCUUCACUACUCUGUUGUAUCCUAUUAUAGAGGAUGGAGCAAAAAUGGGAGAGUAGAGGUUAAGGAAUGAAAUAAUGGGGCUAAAGAUUGGAUAAGGAAAAAGAAUAAGGACAAUUACAAGUAAAAGAUUGGAGAAGGGCGAACAGUAGUAAAAAGGAAAAUGAAGAUAAGGGAUAGUUGACAAAGAAAACGUAAAAACAGAAAGUCAGUCAACGUGGCUGGGGAGAUGAGGAAGGCCCAGGACGACAUUGAGGAAGAGACUGCCAUGUCAAGCAGGAGGCAGAGAACAAACAAGUAAAGGCGAUUCUUACAAGAUGGUGAAGGUGCCGUUGUAGGUGUCGGGCUCCGGCACGGGCACUCUGCGGAGCCUCUGCUGUAGGCUGAGACCAACACACGACAGUGUCUCAUCUUUGCAGGUACAACGCUCACAUAGUUUGAGGUUUGUGGUGGCAUUCUGUUCUGGUUGCCAAGUUAAAGUUGUGUAUGCCUUUUCGGAGGUAUAGUUUACAAAAUGCACCACAGAAUGUUGAGUUGUUGGAGGAAAACCUGUCUCAAAUGACGCUGGUUGCUGACUUACAGGAAUUUCUAGGUCCAUAGGUGGAACCGUGACUUCAGUCAGGUUUCGAUGUUGACUCUGAACCUGCUCUGGAUGUGCAAGUGUCACCUCAAGGUCCUUUGGGGGAGGAGUUGUAGUCUUCUUCAGGGUUGUCGAAUGUUCAGCCUCCGUAAUAGGUUCUGGAGUUAUAGUAAGCUCCACAUGACGAAAUGGGAUGAUGGGUGAUGCUGGAUGCUGACCUUGAUCCUUACUUGGAGUUGGAACUGUCACUUCCUGCUGGAAUGGAUAUUGAACUACAACCUCCUUAGGUGGCUCUGGAGGCUGAGUUGGGGUGUCUCGCAUGGUUGGAGAAGGUUCAGUCUCCACACUGGAUCCUGCAGUUACAGUAAGUUCCAGGUCCAUAGGUGGAACUGUGACUUCAGUCAGGUUUGGAUGCUGACUCUGAACCUGCUCUGGAUGUGCUAGUGUCACCUCAAGGUCCUUUGGAGGAGGAGCUGUAGUCUCCUUCAUGGGUGUAGAAUGUUCAGCCUCUGUAGUAGGUUCUGGAGUUAUGGUAAGCCCCAAGUCCACAUGAUGAGCUGUGACACUGGGCAAUGUUGGUUGCUGACCUUGAUCCUUACUGGAGUGGGAACUAUCACUUCCUGUUCGGAUGGAUACUGAACAACCUCCUUAGGUGGCUCUGGAGGCUGGGUUGGGGUCUCUUGCAUGGUUAGAGAAGGUUCAGUCUCUGUAGUGGAUUCUGGAGUUAUGGGAAGCCCUGGGUCCAAAGGUUUAACUGUGACUUUAGUUAAGGUUGGAUGCUGAAUGUGCUCUGAAUGUGGAAAUGUCACCUCAAGGUCCUCUGGAGGAGCGGUAGUCUGCUGCAGGGCUGAGGGAUGUUUAACAUCCGUAGUGGGUUCUGUAGUUACAGCAAGCACCAAGUCCAAAGGCUGAACUGUUACAUUCGGCAACCACAGACACUGAGCUUGAUCCUGAUCUGGUGUUGGAACUGCUGCCUCUUGAUACACUGGAGGUUGAGCUACAAGUUCCUUAGGCGGCUCUGGAGGCUGAUCUGGGGUCUGUGGACUUUUGGCCUUAUUCAAGGUUGAAUGCUGAACCUGAACCUGCUCUAGAUGUGCAAAUGUUACCUCAAGGUCCUUUGGAGGAGCUGUAGUUUUCUUCAGGGCUGUAGAAGCUUUAACCUCCAUAGUGGGUUCUGGAGUUAUGGUAAGCUCUAGGUCCCAAGGCUGAACUGUUACAUUAGGUGACAAUGGAUGACUAGCUUGAUCCAGACCUGGAGUUGGAACUGUCACCUCCUGAAACAGUGGAGGCUGAACCACAACCUCCUUAGGUGGCUCUGAAGGGUGACCUGGGAUCUCUUGCGUGGUUGAAGUUUCAACCUCUGUAGUGGGUUCUGGAGUUAUGGUCAGUUCCAGGUCUAAAGGCUGAACUCUGACUUCAGUCAAAUUUGGAUGCUGAGCCUGGACCUGCUCUGGAUGUGGAGGUGUCACCUCAGUGUCCUCUGGAGGAGCUAUAGUCUGCUGCAUGAUUGUAGAAUGCUCAGUCUCCACAGUAGGUUCUGGAGUUACAGUAAGCUCCAGGUCAGCAGGCUGAACAGUAACAUUGGGCAAGUUUGGAUGCUGAGCUUGCUCUUGUCCUAGAGGUGGAACUGUCACCUCAUUAUGGACUGGAGGUUGUGCUACAACCUCCUCAGGUGGCUCUGGAGGCUGAACUGGGGCCUCCUGCUGGGCUGGAGGAGUUUCUGCCUCCUUAGAGGGCUCCGGAGGUUGAGUUGGAGCCUGCUGCAGAAUUGGAUAUGGUUCUACCUUCUCAGGGGCCUCUGAAGGCUGAGCUUGUACCUCAUGUUGUGUUAGCCACUAUCUCCUUAAGUGGCUCGAGAGGUAGAGAUAGGGUUUCCUGCUGGACUGGAGAUGGUUCCACCUUCUCAGGAGGCUCUGGAGGCUGAGGUGGGGCCUCCUGCUGUGUGGAAGGUUCUACCUCCUUAGGGGGCUCAGGGGAUACAACUGGGGCUUCCUGCUGAGUUGGAAAAGAUUCUGCCUCAUUACCGGGCUCUGAAGGCUGAGCUGGGGCCUCUUGAGGUGUGGGAGAAGGUUCCACCUCUUUAGGGGGCUCAGGGGAUAUAGCUGGGGACUCCUGGAGGACUGGAAACUGAGCUGGGGCCACCUGCUGGGUUGGAGACUCUGCCUCAUUAGGGGGCUCUGAAGGCUGAGCUGGGGCCUCCUGCAGUGUGGGAGAAGGUUCUACCUCCUUAGGGGGCUCAGGAGAUACAGCUGGGGCCAGCUGGGGGACUACAGACUGAGCUGGGGCCUCCUGUUGUCCUGAAGCAGGUUCCACAGCCUUAGGGGGGUCUGGAGUCUGAGCUAGGACCUCUUGUUGGCCUGGAGAAGACUCAUCUUCAGGGGACUCUGGAGACUGGGAAAGACGCUUGGACUGAGCUGGAGAAAAUUCAACUUUCUCAGGGGGAAUAGGAGAUUGAGCAGGGACAUCCUGCUGCACUCGAAGAGGUUUAACCUCCUUAGUUGCCUGGGGACUUAUGAAAAUCCUCAGAUCCACAGGUUUAACUGUGAUAUUAGGCAACGCUGGAUGCUGAGCUUCACCUGGACCUGGAGGUGAGAAUGUCACCUCAUGCUGUGCUGGAGACUGAGCUACAACAUCUGUAGAGGACCCUGGAGGCUGAGCUGGAUGCUCAUACUGAACUGGAAAAGACUUGACCCCCUCAUUGGGCUUUGGUUGCUGAGCUGGGACCUCUUGCUGGAUUGGAGAAGGUUCUCUACUUGCAACAGGCACGUGAGGCAGAGCUGAGCUCUCCUGCUGGCUUGGAGAAAGUUCAAUUUCCUCAGGAAAAUCUUCGGGUGGGGUUGAGACUUCAUGCUGGACUGGAGAAGAUUCAACACUUUCAGGGGGCGCUGGAUGCUGAUGUGGGACCUCCUGCUGGGUUGGAGAAGGUUCCAACUGCUCAGGGGACACUCCAGACUGAGCUGAGGCCUCUUCUCGGAGUGGAGAAGCUUCAACCUCAUUAGUGGAUUCUGAGGUCAUGGUAACUGAGGAAUCCACAGGUCUAACAGUGACAUUAGGCAACAGCAGGAGCUGAGCUUGAUUCUGACCUUGAGGAAAAACUGUUACCACCUGACGCUCUGGAGAGUGAGCUGGGGCCUCCUGUUGGGUUGGAGAAGGUUCAACCUCACCAGAAGGCUCCUGUUGAGUGGCAGAAGGGUUAAUUUCCUCAGAGGUCUGUGGAUGCUGACUUGGGGCCUCCUGAUAGGUUGCGGGUUUAACUUCCCCAAGGGGAUUUGGAUGCUGAGUUGUGGCCUCUGACUGGGCUGGAGAAGGUUCAGUCCCCUCAAGGGGCUCUGGAUACUGAGUUGGGGUCUCUGGUUGGGUUGGAAAAGGCUCACCCUCCUCUGAUGCCUGAGGAUACUGAGCUGGAGCCUCCUGCUGGGUUGAAGAAGGUUCAACCUCCUCAGGGGUCUGUGGAUGCUGAGCUGGGGACUCCUCCUGGGUUGUAGGUGGUUCACUCCCCUUGGAGGCCUGUGGGUGCUGACCCUGGCCCUCCUCCUGGAGAGGGGAAGGUUCACCCUCUUCCUGGGCCUCUGGAAGCUGAGUCGGGGCCUCCUCCUGGGUUGAGGAUGAUUCACCCUCCUCAGGGGCCUGUGAUUGCUGAGCUAGGGCCUCCUGCUGGGUUGUAGAAGGUUCAACUUCUCCAGGAUAUUCUGGAUACUGAACUGGGGUCUCCUGCUGUGUUGGAAGUUUGUCCUGUGUGGUAGAUUCUGGAGAUUGCGUUGGAGUCUCCUGUUGAACUGGCAAAGAUUCAGUUGCAGAAUCUGAGGGCAGAGUUGGGGCUUCAUGCUGGGUUUCCAAAGCUUCCACAUUAAGAGGCACUGAGGGCUGAGCUAUAGUCUCGUGCUGAACUGGAGAAGGUCCCACCUCUGUAGUGGGUUCUGCAGUCAUGGUAAGCUGCACAUCUGGAGGUUUCAAACUGACAUUGGGCAGGUUUAAAUGUUGAUCACGGUAGUGACCUGGAGGUGAAACUGUCAUCUUAUGAUGCCAUGGAGGUUGAGCUGGGUGCUCCUGCUGGGUUGGAGAAGGUUCCACCUCCCUGGAAGGCAGCUCUGGAGGCUGAGCUGGUUGCUCUUGCAGGGUUGCAGAAGAUUCUAUCUCCCCUGGAGACUGAGCUGGAGUCUUCUGCUGGGUUGAAGAUUCUGCCUCAUUAAGGAGCUCUGCAAGCUGAGCUGAGACCUCCUCCUGGGUUGGAGAAAGUUCAGCUUCUCCAAAAGGGUCUGCAAGCUGAGCUGGGGGUUCCUGUUUGCUUAGAGAAGGCUUAGCUUCCUCAGGAGGCACUGAAGGCUGAGCUGGGGUCUCCUGCUGCCUUAGAGAAGGAUCAAUCACCCCAGGAGGCUCGGAAGGCUGACCUGGGGUCUCCUGCUCACUUGAAGUCUCAACCUCCUCUGGAGGCUUACCCGAGGUCUCUUGCUGGGUUAGAGACAGUUCUGCUUCCUCAGUAUGUUCAAGAGGCUGAGGUGGGGCCUCUUGCUGGGCUAUAGAAGACUCAACACCUUUAUCAGGCCCUGGAGUUGUGGUAAGUUCCACAUCUAAAGGCUUACCUGUAACCUUGGGAAACAUUAAAUAAUCCCAACCUGGCAUUGGAACCA
This is a long non-coding RNA of Felis catus (domestic cat), 8906 nucleotides long. RefSeq lists it as uncharacterized. The record is from RefSeq and is a predicted model, not a curated record. The transcript has 2 exons. NCBI's taxonomy places the organism in Eukaryota, Metazoa, Chordata, Mammalia, Carnivora, Felidae.